RNAcentral lists this ribosomal RNA (429 nucleotides) under Actinomycetes bacterium. RNAcentral's name for it is "Actinobacteria bacterium partial 16S ribosomal RNA". It matches the Rfam family "Bacterial small subunit ribosomal RNA", at positions 355 to 776 of the family's 1533-position model. The record is from RNAcentral. Lineage: Bacteria; Bacillati; Actinomycetota; Actinomycetes.
UAGGGAAUCUUCCGCAAUGGGCGAAAGCCUGACGGAGCAACGCCGCGUGAGUGAUGAAGGUCUUCGGAUCGUAAAACUCUGUUAUUAGGGAAGAACAAAUGUGUAAGUAACUAUGCACGUCUUGACGGUACCUAAUCAGAAAGCCACGGCUAACUACGUGCCAGCAGCCGCGGUAAUACGUAGGUGGCAAGCGUUAUCCGGAAUUAUUGGGCGUAAAGCGCGCGUAGGCGGUUUUUUAAGUCUGAUGUGAAAGCCCACGGCUCAACCGUGGAGGGUCAUUGGAAACUGGAAAACUUGGGUGCAGAAAAGGAAAGUGGAAUUCCAUGUGUAGCGGUGAAAUGCGCAGAGGUAUGGAGGAACACCAGUGGCGAAAGCGACUUUCUGGUCUGUAACUGACGCUGAUGUGCGUAAGCGUGGGGAUCAAACAGG